AACGAACGCUGGCGGCGUGCUUAACACAUGCAAGUCGAACGCGGAAGCCCGGCUGUGGGUGGGUGGGGGAGUUGCGAACGGGUGAGUAACACGUGAGUAACCUGCCCCCUCCUUUGGGGUAACGCCCGGAAACGGGUGCUAAUACGGGAUAUUCACUGGCCUUCGCAUGGGGGUUGGUGGAAGGGGAUGUUCUGGGGGGGGAUGGGCUCGCGGCCUAUGACGUUGUUGGGGGGGUGAUGGCCUAUCAAGGGUUUGACGGGUAGCAGGCCUGAGAGGGUGACCGGUCACAUUGGGACUGUGAUCCGGCCCAGACUCCUACGGGAGGCAGCAGUGGGGAGGAUUGCACAAUGGGCGAAAGCCUGAUGCAGCGACGACGCGUGAGGGAUGGAGGCCGUCGGGUUGUGAACCUCUUUCGCUUAUGGUAGAGCCGCAACAAGGGUUGUGGUGAGGGUAGUGGGUAGAGAAGCGCCGGCUAACUACGUG
RNAcentral lists this ribosomal RNA (483 nucleotides) under uncultured bacterium. RNAcentral's name for it is "partial 16S ribosomal RNA". It matches the Rfam family "Bacterial small subunit ribosomal RNA", at positions 28 to 507 of the family's 1533-position model. The record is from RNAcentral.